ACCACGUUCCUGUGAAGGAAGCGAAUGGAUAGCAUGGCCAGUAUUUCAACUGGCUGCUAAUACGAUGUGUACAACUUCAGACAUUUAUGUGAGCACCCAGAGUAAGAGGAUGAAGUUGGCAGUAGCGUCAGGUCAUCUUGCCUAUAAACCACCUAACCACUGCCCUCCAGGGAUAGGACUGAAAUACAGAAGUGCUACCUCGAGAGGACAUAACCAGAUAGACUGCAAGGCAGAGGCAAGAUUUUCCCCAACAUCUUCAUACUGGUGAGCCUCGAGGUGAGAGACAGAGAGCUCCCAGCCUGUUAAAAGCCAGACUGAAGCAAAGGGGGGGGAUCCCCAAGAUCCCGGCCCUGGGCGUCUCGCCCUGAAGCAGAAGACAACAUUGUCACUGAAAACAGCAAGUUCUCAUUCACAGUUAUGUCUCAUGUUAAUUACUAC
Molecule: long non-coding RNA, 438 nt
Filed under: Anser brachyrhynchus (Pink-footed goose)
Lineage: Eukaryota; Metazoa; Chordata; Aves; Anseriformes; Anatidae
Description: lncRNA (ENSABRG00000021577.1)
Source: RNAcentral